UGAUUUCGGGCCAGGCUAUAUUGCCUC
Molecule: non-coding RNA, 27 nt
Filed under: Homo sapiens (human)
Lineage: Eukaryota; Metazoa; Chordata; Mammalia; Primates; Hominidae
Source: RNAcentral